CGGUUAAAAAGCUCGUAGUUGGAUUUCUGCCGAGGACGUCCGGUCCGCCCUCUGGGUGAGUACAUGGCACGGCCUGGGCAUCUUCUUGGGGAACGUAUCUGCACUUGACUGUGUGGUGCGGUAUCCAGGACUUUUACUUUGAGGAAAUUAGAGUGUUUCAAGCAGGCACACGCCUUGAAUACAUUAGCAUGGAAUAAUAAGAUAGGACCUCGGUUCUAUUUUGUUGGUUUCUAGAGCUGAGGUAAUGAUUAAUAGGGACAAUUGGGGGUAUUCGAAUUAACGCGUCAGAGGUGGAAUUCUUGGAUUGCGUUACGACGAACUACUGCGAAAGCAUUUACCAAGGAUGUUUUCAUUGAUCAAGAACGAAAGUCAGGGGAUCGAAGACGAUUAGAUACCGUCGUAGUCUUGACCAUAAACUAUGCCGACUAGAGAUUGGAGGUUCGCUCUUUUUACGGCUCCUUCAGCAUCUUAUGAGAAAUCAAAGUUUUUGGGUUCCGGGGGGAGUAUGGUCGCAAGGCUGAAACUUAAAGGAAUUGACGGAAGGGCACCACCAGGAGUGGAGCC
RNAcentral lists this ribosomal RNA (564 nucleotides) under uncultured eukaryote. RNAcentral describes it as "SSU rRNA". It matches the Rfam family "Eukaryotic small subunit ribosomal RNA", at positions 616 to 1183 of the family's 1831-position model. The record is from RNAcentral.